This 72-nucleotide transfer RNA is filed under the name Bos taurus (domestic cattle). It matches the Rfam family "tRNA". From Rfam's summary of the family: Transfer RNA (tRNA) molecules are approximately 80 nucleotides in length. Their secondary structure includes four short double-helical elements and three loops (D, anti-codon, and T loops). Further hydrogen bonds mediate the characteristic L-shaped molecular structure. tRNAs have two regions of fundamental functional importance: the anti-codon, which is responsible for specific mRNA codon recognition, and the 3' end, to which the tRNAs corresponding amino acid is attached (by aminoacyl-tRNA synthetases). tRNAs cope with the degeneracy of the genetic code in two manners: having more than one tRNA (with a specific anti-codon) for a particular amino acid; and 'wobble' base-pairing, i.e. permitting non-standard base-pairing at the 3rd anti-codon position. Lineage: Eukaryota; Metazoa; Chordata; Mammalia; Artiodactyla; Bovidae. RNAcentral also lists the same sequence under 2 other names. The record is from Rfam by way of RNAcentral.
UCCCUGGUGGCUCAGACGGUAAAGAAUCUGCUUACAAUGCAGGAGACCUGGGUUUGAUCCCUGGGUAGGGAA